UGCUGGUGCCAAUGAAAAGUCGUCCUCUACUGCUCCUAUCCAAGUUUUGGAUUCAAGUAAGUUGAUUCCUUCUUCAGCUGAUGAUCAAGGACAGACAGCAUCCAUCCUUGUAUCUUCUGCAGCCUCAGGCCCGCAGCUGUCACCACCACCACCUCCCUUGUCUUCAUUUACCAGUACAGUUUCAACGACCCCCUCAUUCCGGAGUCCCAUUCCACCUCCGCCGCCACCUCCGGCUUUCAUAUCAUCCAGCCAGGUGAAAGUUGAAGUAGCAUCUGAAUGUGCAGUCCCAAAGAGCAGGUCACCACCACCACCACCACCUCCCCCUCUGCAUUUCAAUAAUGGGCAUAACA
Molecule: long non-coding RNA, 350 nt
Filed under: Linum usitatissimum (flax)
Lineage: Eukaryota; Viridiplantae; Streptophyta; Magnoliopsida; Malpighiales; Linaceae
Description: long non-coding RNA (LUSI_LNC001214)
Source: RNAcentral